RNAcentral lists this ribosomal RNA (468 nucleotides) under uncultured bacterium. Its description in RNAcentral is "partial 16S ribosomal RNA". It matches the Rfam family "Bacterial small subunit ribosomal RNA", at positions 28 to 507 of the family's 1533-position model. The record is from RNAcentral.
GACGAACGCUGGCGGCGUGCUUAACACAUGCAAGUCGAACGGAAAGGCCCUGCUUUUGUGGGGUACUCGAGUGGCGAACGGGUGAGUAACACGUGAGUAACCUGCCCUUGACUUUGGGAUAACUUCAGGAAACUGGGGCUAAUACCGGAUAGGAGCUCCUGCUGCAUGGUGGGGGUUGGAAAGUUUCGGCGGUUGGGGAUGGACUCGCGGCUUAUCAGCUUGUUGGUGGGGUAGUGGCUUACCAAGGCUUUGACGGGUAGCCGGCCUGAGAGGGUGACCGGCCACAUGGGGACUGAGAGACGGCCCAGACUCGUACGGGAGGCAGCAGUGGGGAAUAUUGCACAAUGGGCGGAGACCUGAUGCAGCAACGCCGCGUGCGGGAUGACGGCCUUCGGGUUGUAAACCGCUUUCGCCUGUGACGAAGCGUGAGUGACGGUAAUGGGUAAAGAAGCACCGGCUAACUACGUG